Molecule: long non-coding RNA, 4873 nt
Organism: Pipra filicauda (Wire-tailed manakin)
Lineage: Eukaryota; Metazoa; Chordata; Aves; Passeriformes; Pipridae
Exons: 2
Source: RefSeq, a predicted model, not a curated record
CAGGACGUAGGUUUGUUUAGAGUGACCUUCUCUUAGAUGGAUGGCCUUACAGGGCUGACGAGAUGGGAUGUAUUAGCAUGUCCUUAACAACCACCCCCAAAAGCCCCCAGCACCCACGACAUACAAGUUUAUGAGAAGAUGGAAUUUUUUCACUAAAACUGUUACUGUGGACGUGGCGGGGAGCUGGAAUGGGGCCCCUGAGGAGCCUGUGUGGAGCCAUUGAACCUCCUGAGUUGAGGUGACAGUGCUGGAUUGUCACAUCUCAGGGCUGAUAGAGCAUUGUUAGGUCAGGAUGUUCAUGAAGUGUCGCAGCUGUUUGCAGAGUGGCUGUCACUUUGAAAGCAGCACAGUCAUACUCAUCGUGUCCUUGACCUGUGCCUGCAGCCUCUCCUGCUUUGGUCACAAGGUGUCAGGCCUCGUACACCUGUGUCUUUUCCAGUUUCUCUCAAGAGCCUGGUGACAGGGAGGCUUCUGGUCUUGCCAAAACCCAACAAAAAGUGUAGUUUUUCCUGCAGCUUUUCAGCUUAUAUAUGUUUUGCCAUAGAGGUCUGUGUUUGUCUCUUGGUACUUCUACUUUGUGUGUGAUCCUUUCCCCUUUGGGCUAGGAUCUUUUCCCCUUUUCAUGAUGACUCCUCAGAACUUGGUCUUCCAGCCUCCUACCCGCCUUAUGUUUAUAAUAAAUAUUUUUGUUUCAUUUGUUCACUUCGGUGGGUUUUGUCCAUGAAUAGAACCUCCUGACAUCACUCAGAGUCUUGGAUAAUAUCUGUGAUGGGGCAGUAGUAGGUGACAUUUGAGGUGUUGCUGUUUGAGGUGAUGCUGCUUCAUUGACUCUGAAUACCUUCCUGUUCUGUUGAGAUCUUCCAUCUGUGUAGUGCUGCCUUCCUAGCGCUGCUGAGAGCCAGCUUGGAAGAGUUUCCAGCUUCUAGAGCAGUACCAGCGGUAGCAGAAAGGAUGAGAUCAAGCCUUUUCUGGCUUCGAGGGUUUGCUCUAUUGCCUGAGUCCUUUCUAAUAGAAAUGUCACUUCUUGUGGCCCAAGAGUUUUGGGUCCAGAGGUCAGCUUGGUUUGAGUGAGUUUUAGAGAUUUAGAUCUGCACACUGACAGGAGGAUCCCAUCAACCAUCACUGCUUCUUGGAACAGUUGGUCACAUCCAUUUGAGGCAAGUGAUUUUCUUCUGGGUUCUUUGAUCUCUGGUCUCUGGCCUGUGCUGGAUCAUGAGCCUGGCUUAGCUUAUGUCUCUUGAUCUCUUUAGGGUUCAGGAAAUGAAGAUUUCUUUGGUUUCAUUCCUAUUUUAGGGAAAUAGGAUGUUGUGAUCACUGCUCCUGAAUCUUAAAAUCUGUAGAUUCUCUGAAAUUGGUGAGGGUUUGUAUUCAUGGCUUUUGGCCAUUAGUCUUAGAAGAUGCUCUCAGGGAGAGCACUGCCUCCUGCAAUGGCACCUUGUUGGUGACAUCCUCACAGGUAUCAUCACUUAUACUUGCGUAGGCAACACAAAAUCUUGCAGCCUGCCUGUUUGUCAUUCAUGUGAGUACAUCAGCCAUUUAGGAAUUUAAAUCCUUGCCUGUUCCUAGUGGAUUUGUCUUAAAAAAAGUGUGAGUAAAUGCCAGUUAAUGUCACUGCUCCACAACAUUAUGAAAUGCCUAAGUGACUGUUGUGUUUUAUUUCAUCUGCAGAAUGUUCAGGUCGAUCCAUCUUUGAACAGUUUCUCUCUCCUUAAUGGGCAGUUUGGAAAAAUUAAUGAUCUGUUCCAGAGUAGCUGGGAUUUCUUUUUAUUCUGCAUUCUCAAGAGAAGCAUCCAACACAUGGCAGGAGGAACAGAGUUAAAAAGAAGAAAGAUUUGCUGCUAAAGUCAAGAAACUUGGAUAUUUAUUACUUAACACGGACCAACCCUCCAAACUGGUAUUAAAAGACUGAGGUGUAGAAACAGCUGAAAUCAGCUCUGGCAGUACAUCACAUUUCUUUUAGUGAACUGAAGCAGCAGCUCAGGUGAGCAUCAUCUGCAUUCUUGUUUCCAGAUUCAAUCCUGUGUUUUUAUAGAUAACUAUACAGAUGCAAAGACUCAUAGCUUAUUUUGAAAAAAGCGAUGAGGAUCUUUCCAAGUCUACCUCAGUAAUUCAGGAUAUUUGGUGACAUGUGAAAUAGGUGACUUUAUUUCAGAGGCAGAAGGACAGUUAACCACCUGCUCAGACUCACUGCAGGACUAUAUUAAUAUUUACAUGUUAAUAUUACUAACUAGCAAUCUCAAAUUAAUCACCACAUUAAUGAAGAGCCUUUUCUGAGAUUGUAAAUUCUAUUUUGUUCACUUUUGCUGCUUUUGUAUCUGCUGAAUGCCAGCUCCCCCUUUUCCAUGGGGUGGGAUUGGAGGGCCUGUACUCUGUUGUAAUAACUUUCUCCUGUUUGAAAUGCCAUUAUUUCUGGUCUGUUUUUAGAUGAUGAAGGAUAGACACUGCGAUGGGCACUAAAGCAUGGACUUGCAGUGUGCACUCUGAUGGCAGCAUAUCCAAGAGCUGUGUUGCAACAGAGAAGGUAAGUUGACAGGUGGGGGCCAGGGGAGGAAUGAGUUGAUGGCCAAGCUCUGGAUAGUUAAUCUUUUCUGGGUUUUUUUUUUAAAGUUUUAUGGACAGCUGUCAAAUUGAUCAGACAGCUGCUGAAACCAUUACAAAAACAAUUUGAGAAUUAGAUUUUUAACUGUUCCUGAAGUAUUUAUUUAUCCUUCAAGAUGUAGACAGAUGCAAAGUCACCAUUCUGUUCAGUGAGAUAUUUUUCCUGUUCAUUUUCUUGAUUGACAAUUACUGUUAGUGUAGCGCUUGUUGCUAGAAACCGUUGAGCUGGUCAUGCUCAUUUUUCUCUGCGGUGAGCUUGUGCUCUCCUGCUGUGAGCUCAUGCUCUCCUCUCUGUGAUGGGGGAGUGCUGGUUGCUGUUAGCUGCGCUCUAAAGACAAGAAUUCCUGGGUGAGGUCAAGUUUAGGUAGUGUUUGUUCUGAAGCCCAAUAAAAACAUUAGCUACUAUAUAUCUUGAUUCUCUGGUUUGGGUUAUAAAGGACUUGCCUGCGAAUGCACGUGGGUCACCUUGUUUUGACGGGUAAUUAAGUCUGGGUUUCUUCCUUAGGUAACCAAGCAAACAGUCUCAAAUAUGCUUUGCUAGGCAGAACCAUGUGUAGACAGCAAGGUUUUAUUAUCCCUGGGGAAAAAUGUACCACAAGGGCAUGAAACCUAAAUUACCUUGAAUGAAAUAUCUUAAUGCCCCAACUUGGAGAAUGAUGUAGACAAUCCUGGAUAUGAAUUUUGUUUUAACCAUCAUUAAAGUUCUGUGUGCAAUCUGUACUUCUGCAGGAAUGUGAAACAUCCCAGGGAUUGGCUGGCUGCCUGAAGAGCCCUGGCACCCGCCUGUCAUGACAAGAGACCUGAGCAGUGACAUGCCCACAGUAGCAGUUCAGGUGGGUGUGUUACCUGUAUUUAAAGUCUUUUCUAGUUCUCUGCAUUGUACCAGAAAUUGCACGUGCCUUGUACAAUCUGUUUGGUCCUCUUGUAAUGUCCACUUUUCCUAAUAAACAUCUUUAGAAGUCUUUGCUUUGUGGCUGAUUUCCAAGGGUAUGAGUGUUCCCAUGUUUUAGUUACAUCCUUGUGAUGUGUUCUUUGGAUCAUGUAGGAAAGAGAAGAGAAAUUUGUAAUUGCUUCCUUUGAGUAGAAACUUUAUUUGAAGCUGCCAGAUCCAUGCAAGACCUUUGCCGGUAGCUUCUCUGAGUCUUUUCUUGGAAUGUCCUGAUGCUUCAGAUCAGACAGAAAACCACUGUAAGCAAAAUGGAAGAAGCUUCUCAUGAAGAAAAAUUAAUUCCGAAUGUUUGUUUGGGAAAUGAUGGUGAAACAAAUGGGAAGUUGUGAUCUUAGGUCCUGUCCCACUUCAGCCAUAUGAAGUUCAGCUACCUUGCACUUACAUGAAUACCAAGGGUUUGGCUUCAUCCUGGUUUGUUAGUUUUUGUUUCAAAGGAGGACUGAGAAAAGAGCAGAAUGCACCCAGUGGUCUUUAAUGUGCAGCACUUCCCUGUGUUUGCAAUGUUCCUCCCUUCAGUUGUUUCCAGGGAGGAGGGAAGGUGGCCUGUGUGCCUGCACAGAUCUGUUUUCAGGAGGUGAAAAUCUGUGCGUGUGUGCAUGUGUGUAUUUACUUCAAAAUCCCUUUCUUCUAUAGCAGUGUUCUGGCAUGUCCUGGAGUUCAACUGGACACUGUUUUUUAGUUCAGCUGGGCAGACAUUACCAGAAUCCCCCCAAAAGACGCUCUUUUUUCCCACGUUUAAUCCUUUUUACAUGUGGCAUUUACAUGUGUACUAAUCUUGCUAAACAGCAGGAAUGGACAGUUCCUAACAAUAGCUACUACAGAAGUGUAAAUUCAGAAGUUGGCAUGAGAUUAUUUUGGAGUCUUGGCCAAGAAAACAGGAUUAGAGUUUAACAAACAUACUUGGCAAUUUAAACAAAAUCCAAAAGUUCUAAGAUUUGACUCAGCUCUAUUCCUCCUCAAACAAACAAAACCUUCUUGAACGCCUUGAUCUGACACAUGGCAGUGUCAGCGUUGUGUGUGCAGUCCCUGAGUGCAGCUUCCAGCUCCUCACUGGUGUGACCUGCUGGCAGGCAGCUUGCUCCCUGGGAACAGGAUGGUGUGAUGUUGCAUUCAAUCAAAAUUUAGAAUGUCUCCUGUUAUGGCAAAAGUUUUAAGUUUGGGUUUAGCAUCCUGUGAAUAACCAAGCAGAGUGCUUUCAUGGGGAAAGGGGAGAUGCACUUCAACUAGGACUGGCCUUGAGGGAAUCUUCAGCUGCAGAUGAGGAGCCAUCCCCUGCCCUGCAAAUCCACCAGACCUUGAAUAAACUUGUUUUAUGUUUAUGUUCAA